GGGUUAAGUCCCGCAACGAGCGCAACCCUUAUCUUUAGUUACCAUCAUUCAGUUGGGGACUCUAAAGACACUGCCCCGGUCAACGGGGAGGAAGUGGGGAUGACGUCAAGUCCUCAUGGCCCUUAUGUCCAGGGCUACACACGUGCUACAAUGGGCAGUACAAAGGGUAGCAAGCCUGCGAAGGUGAGCCAAUCCCAAAAAGCUGUUCGUAGUUCGGAUUGGAGUCUGCAACUCGACUCCAUGAAGCUGGAAUCGCUAGUAAUCGCGGAUCAGCAUGCCGCGGUGAAUACGUUCCCGGGCCUU
Molecule: ribosomal RNA, 303 nt
Filed under: uncultured Desulfobacterium sp.
Lineage: Bacteria; Pseudomonadati; Thermodesulfobacteriota; Desulfobacteria; Desulfobacterales; Desulfobacteriaceae
Description: bacterial SSU rRNA
Rfam family: Bacterial small subunit ribosomal RNA
Source: RNAcentral